AGUGAACGCUGACGGCGUGCUUAACACAUGCAAGUCGAACGAGAACGGAAUAUAGCUUGCUAUAUUUGUCAGCUAAGUGGCGCACGGGUGAGUAAUGUAUAGAUAACCUGCCCUUAAGAAAGGAAUAACAGUUGUAAACGACUGCUAAUGCCCUAUAUGCCUUUAAUACAUAAGUAUGCAAGGGAAACGCUUUAGUGCUUAAGGAUGGGUCUGUAUGGUAUCAGCUUGUUGGUGAGGUAAUGGCUCACUAAGGCUAUGACGCCUAACUGGUUUGAGAGGAUGAUCAGUCACACUGGAAUUGAGACACGGUCCAGACUCCUACGGGAGGCAGCAGUGGGGAAUAUUGCACAAUGGACGAAAGUCUGAUGCAGCAACGCCGCGUGGAGGAUGACACAUUUCGGUGCGUAAACUCCUUUUAUAUAGGAAGAUAAUGACGGUACUAUAUGAAUGAGCACCGGCUAACUACGUGCCAGCCGCCGCCGUAA
Molecule: ribosomal RNA, 485 nt
Filed under: uncultured bacterium
Lineage: Bacteria
Description: partial 16S ribosomal RNA
Rfam family: Bacterial small subunit ribosomal RNA
Source: RNAcentral